Long non-coding RNA from Pezoporus flaviventris, 297 nucleotides. RefSeq lists it as uncharacterized. The transcript has 2 exons. The record is from RefSeq and is a predicted model, not a curated record. NCBI's taxonomy places the organism in Eukaryota, Metazoa, Chordata, Aves, Psittaciformes, Psittacidae.
AUAUCUCAAAUAUUACCGAAACAGUCUUACUGGAUUGGAUUAUCAUAUGGAGUUGAUGGCUGGUCUUGGGUGGAUGGAUCAAAACUUUCUACAAAGAGAAUGGACUGGAUUGAUUUGUCCUUUAAGCAAAACUGUGCAUGCCUAUUUUAUCAUAGGUCAACAGUUUACAGUGAGAAUUGUUAUGAGAAACAUCCCUGGAUUUGUGAGAAGGCAGCAGUCCAUCUGAUCUAAAAAGAUUAUCAACAGAAAAAGAACUGGAAGAGGAUGAAGACUUUGAUGUUCAGAUUUUCAAAGAAG